UACGAAAGGGGCUAGCGUUGUUCGGAAUUACUGGGCGUAAAGCGCACGUAGGUGGAUUUAUAAGUUAGGGGUGAAAUCCCGGGGCUCAACUCCGGAAUUGCCUUUGAUACUGUAUAGCUUGAGGACGGGAGAGGUGAGUGGAAUUCCGAGUGUAGAGGUGAAAUUCGUAGAUAUUAGGAAGAACACCAGUGGCGAAGGCGGCUCGCUGGCCCGGUACUGACGCUCAUCUGCGAAAGCGUGGGAGCAAACAGG
This 252-nucleotide ribosomal RNA is filed under the name uncultured bacterium. Its description in RNAcentral is "partial 16S ribosomal RNA". It matches the Rfam family "Bacterial small subunit ribosomal RNA", at positions 524 to 776 of the family's 1533-position model. The record is from RNAcentral.